This is an unclassified non-coding RNA of Panthera pardus (leopard), 214 nucleotides long. The record is from Ensembl. Lineage: Eukaryota; Metazoa; Chordata; Mammalia; Carnivora; Felidae.
UUAACUUCUUAAUCAUAAAAAUUGCUCUCUAAAGAAGUACACUGGAAACAUCCGGAUGUGGGGUUAUAAUUAAAAACAAAGCAAAACAGCCUCCCUUAAAAGAAGUGAAAUGCUUAAUUCAAACUUACUGGAUAGUUGAUAAUGAAAGUGAAAAUGCUGGCAUCUAUAGAUAUUGUAAAGUCUUGGGAUUUGAAUUUUAUCACUGACCAUCUGG